GACGUAGGGAGCGAGCGUUGUCCGGAUUCAUUGGGCGUAAAGGGUCCGUAGGCGGCUCAGCAAGUCGGGUGUGAAAUCUCCAGGCUCAACCUGGAGGGGCCACUCGAUACUGCUGUGGCUUGAGUCCAGUAGGGGAGCAUGGAAUUCCCGGUGUAGCGGUGAAAUGCGCAGAUAUCGGGAGGAACACCAAUAGCGAAGGCAGCUCGCUGGGACGGUACUGACGCUAAGGCGCGAAAGCGUGGGGAGCGAACAGG
RNAcentral lists this ribosomal RNA (254 nucleotides) under uncultured bacterium. RNAcentral's name for it is "partial 16S ribosomal RNA". It matches the Rfam family "Bacterial small subunit ribosomal RNA", at positions 524 to 776 of the family's 1533-position model. The record is from RNAcentral.